RNAcentral lists this ribosomal RNA (467 nucleotides) under Alexandrium ostenfeldii. RNAcentral describes it as "LSU rRNA". It matches the Rfam family "Eukaryotic large subunit ribosomal RNA", at positions 193 to 664 of the family's 3401-position model. Lineage: Eukaryota; Dinophyceae; Gonyaulacales; Pyrocystaceae. The record is from RNAcentral.
AAAGAAAGCGUCAAUGAGGGUGAGAUUCCUUUUUGUCAUUUGCAGUCCUCCGUGCACGGUAUAUAUUUGACGAGUCACACUCCUUGGCAUUGGAAUGCAAAGUGGGUGGUAAAUUCCAUGUAAAGGAAAAUAUAUUAUUGAGACUGAUAGCAAACAAGUACCAUGAGGGAAAUAUGAAAAGGACUUUGAAAAGAGAAUUAAAAGAGUCUGCAUUUGCUGAACAGAAAGCAAACAGAAUUGAUCUACUUGGUGAGAUUGUUGCGUCCACUUGUGGGCGCAAUGGUUCUUGCCUUGAAUGUCAGCGUCUACUUCUGCAAAUUAUUACCCUUGCAUAUGAAUGGUAAUUUGCCUGUGGGCAUUGGAAUGCAUGUGUUUGCAAUGAUUUGUGAUUUGAUACAUGUGUCUGGUGUUCGUGUGUGUGCCUUCUUGCCAACAAGGGGAGGGCUCUCCUCCCUGGGCACUGCAAG